Non-coding RNA from Chiloscyllium plagiosum (whitespotted bambooshark), 256 nucleotides. The record is from RefSeq and is a predicted model, not a curated record. NCBI's taxonomy places the organism in Eukaryota, Metazoa, Chordata, Chondrichthyes, Orectolobiformes, Hemiscylliidae.
AUUUAGAAAGGCAAGGUUUGCUCGGAUCUCAAUUUGUAGCUUUAACAGGAUAACUGCAAUAAUGCCAAAUUUUAACAGCGUAAAGAUCUGUGAGUUCUGAAGAAGUCAUAUCAGGCUGAAAACAUCAGCUGUUUUUCUCUCUCUCAGACUGGGACGUGGGCAUCAGUGGCUAGGCCAGCAUUUACUAUCCAUCCAUAAAUCUCCCUGAAGGCAGUUAAAUAUCAACCACAUUGCUAUGGGUCUGAAGACACAUGUA